Molecule: ribosomal RNA, 987 nt
Filed under: Salmonella enterica
Lineage: Bacteria; Pseudomonadati; Pseudomonadota; Gammaproteobacteria; Enterobacterales; Enterobacteriaceae
Description: bacterial SSU rRNA
Rfam family: Bacterial small subunit ribosomal RNA
Source: RNAcentral
GGGCGUAAAGCGCACGCAGGCGGUCUGUCAAGUCGGAUGUGAAAUCCCCGGGCUCAACCUGGGAACUGCAUUCGAAACUGGCAGGCUUGAGUCUUGUAGAGGGGGGUAGAAUUCCAGGUGUAGCGGUGAAAUGCGUAGAGAUCUGGAGGAAUACCGGUGGCGAAGGCGGCCCCCUGGACAAAGACUGACGCUCAGGUGCGAAAGCGUGGGGAGCAAACAGGAUUAGAUACCCUGGUAGUCCACGCCGUAAACGAUGUCUACUUGGAGGUUGUGCCCUUGAGGCGUGGCUUCCGGAGCUAACGCGUUAAGUAGACCGCCUGGGGAGUACGGCCGCAAGGUUAAAACUCAAAUGAAUUGACGGGGGCCCGCACAAGCGGUGGAGCAUGUGGUUUAAUUCGAUGCAACGCGAAGAACCUUACCUGGUCUUGACAUCCACGGAAGUUUUCAGAGAUGAGAAUGUGCCUUCGGGAACCGUGAGACAGGUGCUGCAUGGCUGUCGUCAGCUCGUGUUGUGAAAUGUUGGGUUAAGUCCCGCAACGAGCGCAACCCUUAUCCUUUGUUGCCAGCGGUCCGGCCGGGAACUCAAAGGAGACUGCCAGUGAUAAACUGGAGGAAGGUGGGGAUGACGUCAAGUCAUCAUGGCCCUUACGACCAGGGCUACACACGUGCUACAAUGGCGCAUACAAAGAGAAGCGACCUCGCGAGAGCAAGCGGACCUCAUAAAGUGCGUCGUAGUCCGGAUUGGAGUCUGCAACUCGACUCCAUGAAGUCGGAAUCGCUAGUAAUCGUGGAUCAGAAUGCCACGGUGAAUACGUUCCCGGGCCUUGUACACACCGCCCGUCACACCAUGGGAGUGGGUUGCAAAAGAAGUAGGUAGCUUAACCUUCGGGAGGGCGCUUACCACUUUGUGAUUCAUGACUGGGGUGAAGUCGUAACAAGGUAACCGUAGGGGAACCUGCGGUUGGAUCACCUCCUUACCUUAAAGAA